Molecule: transfer RNA, 63 nt
Filed under: Heterocephalus glaber (naked mole-rat)
Lineage: Eukaryota; Metazoa; Chordata; Mammalia; Rodentia; Bathyergidae
Rfam family: tRNA
About the family: Transfer RNA (tRNA) molecules are approximately 80 nucleotides in length. Their secondary structure includes four short double-helical elements and three loops (D, anti-codon, and T loops).
Source: Rfam by way of RNAcentral
GGGGAUGUAGCUCAGUGGUACAGCACCUGCCUGGCAAGCACAAGAUCCUGAGUUCCAUCCCUG